This is a non-coding RNA of Trichobilharzia regenti, 45 nucleotides long. The record is from Rfam. Lineage: Eukaryota; Metazoa; Platyhelminthes; Trematoda; Strigeidida; Schistosomatidae.
AUCCAGAUGACGAGUCCCAAAUAAGACGAAAUGCACAUCCUGGAU